RNAcentral lists this ribosomal RNA (392 nucleotides) under uncultured Gammaproteobacteria bacterium. RNAcentral describes it as "bacterial SSU rRNA". It matches the Rfam family "Bacterial small subunit ribosomal RNA", at positions 370 to 779 of the family's 1533-position model. Lineage: Bacteria; Pseudomonadati; Pseudomonadota; Gammaproteobacteria. The record is from RNAcentral.
AAUGGGCGCAAGCCUGAUCUAGCCAUGCCGCGUGAGUGAGGAAGGCCCUAGGGUCGUAAAGCUCUUUCGCCAGGGAUGAUAAUGACAGUACCUGGUAAAGAAACCCCGGCUAACUCCGUGCCAGCAGCCGCGGUAAUACGGAGGGGGUUAGCGUUGUUCGGAAUUACUGGGCGUAAAGCGCGCGUAGGCGGAUUAGAAAGUUGGGGGUGAAAUCCCAGGGCUCAACCCUGGAACUGCCUCCAAAACUACUAGUCUAGAGUUCGAGAGAGGUGAGUGGAACUCCGAGUGUAGAGGUGAAAUUCGUAGAUAUUCGGAAGAACUCCAGUGGCGAAGGCGGCUCACUGGCUCGAUACUGACGCUGAGGUGCGAAAGUGUGGGGAGCAAACAGGAUU